CCCUUAGAUGUUCUGGGCCGCACGCGCGCUACACUGACGAAGUCAGCGAGCAUGUCCCACGCCGACAGGUGCGGGGAAUCUUGUCAAACUUCGUCGUGAUGGGGAUUGAUUAUUGAAAUUCUUGAUCAUCAACGAGGAAUUCCUAGUAAGCGCAAGUCAGCAGCUUGCGUUGAUUACGUCCCUGCCCUUUGUACACACCGCCCGUCGCUACUACCGAUUGAAUGGUUUAGUGAGAUCUUCGGAUUGGCGCCACUGCGGCUCAGCAAUGGGCUCGGUGGGUGCCGAAAAGUUGAUCAAACUUGAUCAUUUAGAGGAAGUAAAAGUCGUAACA
RNAcentral lists this ribosomal RNA (331 nucleotides) under uncultured eukaryote. Its description in RNAcentral is "partial 18S ribosomal RNA". It matches the Rfam family "Eukaryotic small subunit ribosomal RNA", at positions 1470 to 1796 of the family's 1831-position model. The record is from RNAcentral.